CCCUGUGGGAAGCAGGAGGGACCACCCUCCAAGGCUAAAUACUACCUAGUGACCGAUAGCGUAUAGUACCGUGAGGGAAAGGUGAAAAGAACCCCGGGAGGGGAGGGAAAUAGAACCUGAAACCCUGCACUUACAAGCUGUGGAAGCACAUUUCUUGUGUGACCGCGUACUUUUUGUAGAACGGGCCAACGAGUUACGUUAAGUAGCAAGGUUAAGCACUUAAGGUGUGGAGCCGUAGCGAAAGCGAGUUUUAACUGAGCGUUCAGUUACUUGACGUAGACCCGAAA
This 287-nucleotide ribosomal RNA is filed under the name Clostridioides difficile. Its description in RNAcentral is "partial 23S ribosomal RNA". It matches the Rfam family "Bacterial large subunit ribosomal RNA", at positions 432 to 720 of the family's 2925-position model. Lineage: Bacteria; Bacillati; Bacillota; Clostridia; Peptostreptococcales; Peptostreptococcaceae. The record is from RNAcentral.